UUUGAAAGGGAAACGAUUGAAGUCAGUCGUACCAGCGGGAAAUCAACCUUUCGAGUGGGAUUUUGGGGUUUUGAAGAGUGUUAAACCUUUGAGAUUUCAAAAUGUCCGCUUUUUUGGUGUACUUUCUCGCAGGUAGGUUAACAUCGAUUUUGAUCAUCAUAAAAUGAUUGGAGGAAUGUAGCUUCGAUCUUGUAUUGAAGUGUUAUAGCCUUCGGUAAAUGUGAUGAUUAGGAUCGAGGAUUGCAACGAAUACCCUUUUGGGCUAUCCGCCUGAUCUCUGAUACGUGACCUUGG
RNAcentral lists this ribosomal RNA (294 nucleotides) under uncultured fungus. Its description in RNAcentral is "partial 25S ribosomal RNA". Lineage: Eukaryota; Fungi. The record is from RNAcentral.